This 204-nucleotide unclassified non-coding RNA is filed under the name Hevea brasiliensis (rubber tree). The record is from RNAcentral. Lineage: Eukaryota; Viridiplantae; Streptophyta; Magnoliopsida; Malpighiales; Euphorbiaceae.
UGUGAUGCUAUUGGUUAUUGUUGCCUGAAAACUAUCAUCUAGUCAUCUGUUCGUUCUGCAAAUAGCGUUGGUAAUUUUGAGGCAUCAUCUGCUAAUCAUUUGAAUCCUUGCCCCUUUUCUUGUUUAACUUGCUGGCCGGGAAAUGCAGCCUGGCUAUCAAAGGACGAGGUGCCCGUGUCUUCUGGUCGAAUCCUCUCACACAAA